UACGAACUGUGCAAACGUUAUUCGGAAUCACUGGGCUUACAGGGUGCGUAGGCGGCCUGACAAGUAGGGUGUGAAAGCCCCCGGCUCAACCGGGGAAUGGCGCCCUAAACUGUCGGGCUGGAGUGAGAUAGGGGUGUGCGGAACUUCCGGUGGAGCGGUGAAAUGUGUUGAUAUCGGAAGGAACGCCGGUGGCGAAGGCGGAUCUCUGGUACGUGACUGACGCUGAGACGCGAAAGCGUGGGGAGCAAACAGG
Molecule: ribosomal RNA, 253 nt
Filed under: uncultured bacterium
Lineage: Bacteria
Description: partial 16S ribosomal RNA
Rfam family: Bacterial small subunit ribosomal RNA
Source: RNAcentral